AGUAAUGCCUAGGAAUCUGCCUGGUAGUGGGGGACGAACGUUUCGAAAGGAACGCUAAUACCGCAUACGUCCUACGGGAGAAAGCAGGGGACCUUCGGGCCUUGCGCUAUCAGAUGAGCCUAGGUCGGAUUAGCUAGUUGGUGAGGUAAUGGCUCACCAAGGCGACGAUCCGUAACUGGUCUGAGAGGAUGAUCAGUCACACUGGAACUGAGACACGGUCCAGACUCCUACGGGAGGCAGCAGCC
Molecule: ribosomal RNA, 245 nt
Filed under: uncultured Pseudomonas sp.
Lineage: Bacteria; Pseudomonadati; Pseudomonadota; Gammaproteobacteria; Pseudomonadales; Pseudomonadaceae
Description: partial 16S ribosomal RNA
Rfam family: Bacterial small subunit ribosomal RNA
Source: RNAcentral